Molecule: transfer RNA, 75 nt
Filed under: Aquiflexum balticum DSM 16537
Lineage: Bacteria; Pseudomonadati; Bacteroidota; Cytophagia; Cytophagales; Cyclobacteriaceae
Description: tRNA_Arg_CCT
Rfam family: tRNA
About the family: Transfer RNA (tRNA) molecules are approximately 80 nucleotides in length. Their secondary structure includes four short double-helical elements and three loops (D, anti-codon, and T loops).
Source: RNAcentral
GGCCUCGUAGUUCAAUGGAUAGAAUAGAAGUUUCCUAAACUUUAGAUAUGGGUUCGAUUCCCGUCGAGGCUACUA